CCUACGGGUGGCUGCAGUGGGGAAUAUUGGGCAAUGGGCGAAAGCCUGACCCAGCGACGCCGCGUGGGCGAUGAAGGCCUUCGGGUUGUAAAGCCCUGUCAUGCGGAAAGAACGACCCUGUGACGCAUACUCACAGGGAGUGACGGUACCGCAGGAGGAAGCACCGGCUAACUCCGUGCCAGCAGCCGCGGUAAUACGGAGGGUGCAAGCGUUGUUCGGAAUUAUUGGGCGUAAAGGGCGCGUAGGCGGCAGUGUAAGUCAGAUGUGAAAUACUCCGGCUCAACCAGAGAACAGCAUCUGAAACUGCACAGCUAGAGUACAGAAGAGGGAAACGGAAUUCCCGGUGUAGAGGUGAAAUUCGUAGAUAUCGGGAGGAACACCAGUGGCGAAGGCGGUUUCCUGGUCUGAUACUGACGCUGAGGCGCGAAAGCGUGGGGAGCAAACAGGAUUAGAUACCCCAGUAGUCA
Molecule: ribosomal RNA, 467 nt
Filed under: uncultured Syntrophorhabdaceae bacterium
Lineage: Bacteria; Pseudomonadati; Thermodesulfobacteriota; Syntrophorhabdia; Syntrophorhabdales; Syntrophorhabdaceae
Description: bacterial SSU rRNA
Rfam family: Bacterial small subunit ribosomal RNA
Source: RNAcentral